Long non-coding RNA from Bombina bombina (fire-bellied toad), 355 nucleotides. RefSeq lists it as uncharacterized. The record is from RefSeq and is a predicted model, not a curated record. NCBI's taxonomy places the organism in Eukaryota, Metazoa, Chordata, Amphibia, Anura, Bombinatoridae. The transcript is spliced from 2 exons.
UGUUGUUCUAAAAAUGUGCUUUUGCUGCCUGGACAGAUCAGGGGGGGAUCUCCAAUACAGUCCGGAAAAAGCUAUAAAAAUCAUAGUGGCAUGUUGCUGUCUACAUAACAUGGCACAGGAGCAUAGGAUGUUAAAUGAUUUUAUUCCACCACCACAGCCCCCAGGUGAAAUCUUUGAGCCUGAUAUAAUUAAUCAUCCCCAACCACUAAAUGCCCAUUUGGAGAGAUCUGCAACUAUUCGAGAUUUCUUUUCAGAUUGAAGAUUCUCAGAAAUGGAAUACCCCUCCCCUCCCUCUCUCCUCAUCCCCAUAUUUACCACAUUUUCCCUAAAUAAAUGUGUACUUUACUCAAAUAUA